GACGAACGCUGGCGGCGUGCUUAACACAUGCAAGUCGAACGGAAAGGCCCUGCUUUUGUGGGGUGCUCGAGUGGCGAACGGGUGAGUAACACGUGAGUAACCUGCCCUUGACUUUGGGAUAACUUCAGGAAACUGGGGCUAAUACCGGAUAGCAGCUCCUGCUGCAUGGUGGGGGUUGGAAAGUUUCGGCGGUUGGGGAUGGACUCGCGGCUUAUCAGCUUGUUGGUGGGGUAGUGGCUUACCAAGGCUUUGACGGGUAGCCGGCCUGAGAGGGUGACCGGCCACCUUGGGACUGAGAUACGGCCCAGACUCCUACGGGAGGCAGCAGUGGGGAAUAUUGCACAAUGGGCGGAAGCCUGAUGCAGCAACGCCGCGUGCGGGAUGACGGCCUUCGGGUUGUAAACCGCUUUCGCCUGUGACGAAGCGUGAGUGACGGUAAUGGGUAAAGAAGCACCGGCUAACUACGUG
RNAcentral lists this ribosomal RNA (468 nucleotides) under uncultured bacterium. RNAcentral describes it as "partial 16S ribosomal RNA". It matches the Rfam family "Bacterial small subunit ribosomal RNA", at positions 28 to 507 of the family's 1533-position model. The record is from RNAcentral.